CCUCUUACUCGCAUUAAAGGAAAAAUACAUAAAUAACCCUCCACAUGUGUUCCCAAAAUUCAUGUAAGAAUGUUUAGUUCAAUGAAUAUACGUAUAUAUAUAUUAGGAAAACAAGGUUAAACUAAAGUACAAAAUGACAUACUCUCUUAGGUAUUGCCAUUAUAUACAAAGGUAGUGACGAAAGUAGUUUACAGAAAGUAUUUCAUCCUAACAUCUCUCUUCAUGGCCUCGUAUACAGCUUGAACCUGGACGAGGGCAAUCAUGU
Molecule: long non-coding RNA, 265 nt
Filed under: Solanum tuberosum (potato)
Lineage: Eukaryota; Viridiplantae; Streptophyta; Magnoliopsida; Solanales; Solanaceae
Description: long non-coding RNA (STUB_LNC004778)
Source: RNAcentral